ACAGCAGCCGCCGCGGUAAUACGUAGGUGGCAAGCGUUGUCCGGAAUUAUUGGGCGCAAAGGGCUCGCAGGCGGUUUCUUAAGUCUGAUGUGAAAGCCCCCGGCUCAACCGGGGAGGGUCAUUGGAAACUGGGAAACUUGAGUGCAGAAGAGGAGAGUGGAAUUCCACGUGUAGCGGUGAAAUGCGUAGAGAUGUGGAGGAACACCAGUGGCGAAGGCGACUCUCUGGUCUGUAACUGACGCUGAGGAGCGAAAGCGUGGGGAGCGAACAGGAUUAGAUACCCCUGUAGUCCCUGUCUCUUAUAC
This 305-nucleotide ribosomal RNA is filed under the name uncultured bacterium. Its description in RNAcentral is "partial 16S ribosomal RNA". It matches the Rfam family "Bacterial small subunit ribosomal RNA", at positions 508 to 807 of the family's 1533-position model. The record is from RNAcentral.